Molecule: ribosomal RNA, 300 nt
Filed under: Triticum aestivum (bread wheat)
Lineage: Eukaryota; Viridiplantae; Streptophyta; Magnoliopsida; Poales; Poaceae
Description: partial small subunit ribosomal RNA
Source: RNAcentral
AUGUGUCCCGCGGUGAGGUUUGGGGAGGCGCGACCACAAUCCAGUAGGGAUCUCACCGCGGACCCGUCCGCUGGGAUGGGUGUUGCCUCCAUUGCGAAUGGGAUCGAAGGGAGGGACUACUUCGUCGUCAAAGUCGGCGAGGCAGCGGCCGAUUGGGAGCCCGGUUGUGAACAUGGGAGUUCGUCCCCAUGGAGGCAGCGGCCGUGGAGAUUGGAUGUGAAGCAACCCCACCUGCCGGUGGUGGAGGCUUGCCGUCCAUGUGAUCCUUUCUUCUCCCGGCAUCCACUACAUGUUUGGUAA